AGAGAGUGCCACUUGUCCUGGCCUGCACGCUCUCUGCUCCAAUCUCCCUCAUGGUGUAGGAGGGCCGUCCUGAGUAUAGGGCUGGCUCUUAAAGGCACAAAAGGACAAU
Molecule: non-coding RNA, 109 nt
Organism: Myotis lucifugus (little brown bat)
Lineage: Eukaryota; Metazoa; Chordata; Mammalia; Chiroptera; Vespertilionidae
Source: Rfam